GAAUCACGCUGGCGGCGUGCCUCAGACAUGCAAGUCGAACGCGAAAGUUCCCUUCGGGGAGCAAGUAGAGUGGCGCACGGGUGAGUAACACGUAGGUAAUCUACCUUCGGAUGGGGAAUAACAACCGGAAACGGUUGCUAAUACCGCAUAAUGCAGCGGCGCCUAAUGGUGACAGUUGUUAAAGCGGGGGAUCGCAAGACCUCGCGUCUGAAGAGGAGCCUGCGUCCGAUUAGCUAGUUGGAGAGGUAAAAGCUCACCAAGGCGAUGAUCGGUAACUGGUCUGAGAGGACGACCAGUCACACUGGGACUGAGACACGGCCCAGACUCCUACGGGAGGCAGCAGUGGGGAAUAUUGGACAAUGGGGGCAACCCUGAUCCAGCGAUGCCGCGUGAGUGAAGAAGGCCUUCGGGUCGUAAAGCUCUUUAGGUUGGGAAGAAGGUAGUGAGGGGAUAAUCCUCAUUAUUUGACUGUACCGACAGAAUAAGCACCGGCAAACUCUGUGCCAGCAGCCGCGGUAAUACAGAGGGUGCGAGCGUUAAUCGGAAUAACUGGGCGUAAAGGGCGCGUAGGCGGUGAUGUGAGUGUGAUGUGAAAGCCCCGGGCUUAACCUGGGAAGUGCAUCGCAAACGACAUGACUGGAGUAGAUGAGAGGGUGGCGGAAUUUCCGGUGUAGCGGUGAAAUGCGUAGAGAUCGGAAGGAACGUCGAUGGCGAAGGCAGCCACCUGGCAUCAUACUGACGCUGAGGCGCGAAAGCGUGGGGAGCGAACAGGAUUAGAUACCCUGGUAGUCCACGCUGUAAACGAUGAGUACUAAAGGUUGGUAGGGGAACCUAUCAGUCUUGAAGCUAACGCGAUAAGUAUUCCGCCUGGGAAGUACGGCCGCAAGGUUGAAACUCAAAUGAAUUGACGGGGGCCCGCACAAGCGGUGGAGCAUGUGGUUUAAUUCGAUGCAACGCGAAGAACCUUACCUACCCUUGACAUCCUGCGAAUCCCGAUGAGAGUUGGGAGUGCCGAAAGGAACGCAGAGACAGGUGCUGCAUGGCUGUCGUCAGCUCGUGUUGUGAGAUGUUGGGUUAAGUCCCGUAACGAGCGCAACCCUUGUCCUUAGUUGCCAGCAUUUAGUUGGGGACUCUAAGGAGACUGCCGGUGAGAACCGGAGGAAGGCGGGGACGACGUCAAGUCAUCAUGGCCUUUAUGGGUAGGGCUACACACGUGCUACAAUGGGGCGUACAGAGGGUCGCGAACCUGCGAAGGGGAGCCAAUCUCUUAAAGCGUCUCGUAGUCCGGAUCGGAGUCUGCAACUCGACUCCGUGAAGUUGAAUCGCUAGUAAUCGCGAUCAGCAUGUC
RNAcentral lists this ribosomal RNA (1348 nucleotides) under uncultured bacterium. Its description in RNAcentral is "bacterial SSU rRNA". It matches the Rfam family "Bacterial small subunit ribosomal RNA", at positions 26 to 1358 of the family's 1533-position model. The record is from RNAcentral.